GGCAGGUUAUCCAAGCGGCCAAAGGAUGGCGACUGUAAAUCGUCCGGCAUACGCCUUCGUGGGUUCGAUUCCCACCCCUGCCA
RNAcentral lists this transfer RNA (83 nucleotides) under Arthrobacter sp. zg-Y1110. RNAcentral's name for it is "tRNA-Tyr". It matches the Rfam family "tRNA". From Rfam's summary of the family: Transfer RNA (tRNA) molecules are approximately 80 nucleotides in length. Their secondary structure includes four short double-helical elements and three loops (D, anti-codon, and T loops). The record is from RNAcentral. Lineage: Bacteria; Bacillati; Actinomycetota; Actinomycetes; Micrococcales; Micrococcaceae.